UGCAAUUUUUUUCCUGCAGGUUCUAUUCCAGCUUUUGCUUGGUCGGUUAAGUUGGCAAGAGACAGUCAUCUUCCUAGGCCUAAAUGGCGUUUGUAAUACUCUGCUGCUAUGGUGGAUUCCCUUCACUGCAUAUUUUCAAGGAGCUGCUGAAAAAAUUGAGAAUGAUUUUAUUUCUUCCUUGACAUACCUGUGUGUAACAGCUGUGCUAUUCUUUUUAUUUCAGUUUCUAGAAAAAGUCGGAGGCCAUUUCAUUCCUCAGUCUGGAAUCUCAUUUGGCAUAUUCCUAAGUGUCUUCGUUAUCAUUGGUUUGGAUCAGCCUUGGGUGUUACCAUCUGGAGGGUAUCUCUUGGGAAUAUCAGCUAUUGGUGUGGGCUUCCUGUUGCUAUUCAUACCUGAAAACUGGAAAGAACUUCUGGGUUUGGAAUCAACUGAACUAGGUCAUUUGGAUGAUGAAAGUGAAGAAAUCCAGGGUAAAAGCAUUGCCUGACGUAUGAUGACAUUCUGAUAUUAACAGAUGGGCUUGCAUCAUCUACAGAUAAUCAUGUUAUCAUUGGUCAUCACAAAAACACCUAUUUCAACUGGAUACCAUAGCAGACAUUGAAUAAUAUCUCUUCUACCAGUGUCUGUUGUUAUAGUAAUUCUGGGAAAUCCGAAAUGCAUGGUUGACAAAAAAAUAAACAUAUUUACCCAAGACAUGAUCAAUGGCACAUUUUAUUUAACACUUCAAGCAAAGCAACAAUAUCACAAUAAAUUCCCAGAAUUUGUUUCGUACCGUGACAGUAAAAGUGAAACACAAUGCUACAAAAAAAGGCUUCUGCGUGCAUUCCAUUCUAGCUAGUACACAUAAAUGAGUGCAAGCCACAUCCAGUACUGUGGCUACAGGCAGCAAAACUGUGGAAAUAGAAGGACCAAAGCUCUUUGCUAAUCACAGGCAUAUUCUAGAGACUCAUCAUAGGCACAUCAGGUUUAUAGAACAUAAGCUAUUCAGGCAAAGCAUUACUCUUUAAAAAGUUGAAUUCCUCAAAAUGUAUAUUUGCAUGUCAUAGAUGGAAUCAAUUAAUAAAUAAAUGAGUUGCAUUUAAGACACUUUUUUUGGAAUAUCAGGCAAAUAUUGUGUAUAAAAGGAAGUCAAUAUUAACAUAUGUAAAUAAUUGAAUCUGCAAAACUUAACUUUAUUGUGUAAUUUUAUUGAACUGUAUAUAUCAGCAGCUGUAUUUUCUAUAUUUAGCAGCCAAAGUGCUUUACUUCCUGCUGAAUGAUCCACAUGCAAUCGACAUAGUUGACAAUGUUGUAAUGUCACUGGGGAGCAAAUGGCACUAUAGUUAGGUUUGUCAGCGCUAGGCCAAGACAAGAGUGAGCUUUGGUGGGGCAUUAGAAUAGGUAACAACAAUUAUCUUCAUAAUAUAAAUAUGAAGCGACUGAUGACUGCAUAUAUAAGCAUACUUUUAACCAUACGUAAUGCCAUUAGUGUUCUUUAAUAAGGAUGUUAAUAUUUAAAAACCAGUGUGAAAAUUUUGUGUAUAAGGAGGAUCUUGUUGGAGACGCAGGAAA
Long non-coding RNA from Xenopus tropicalis (tropical clawed frog), 1551 nucleotides. RefSeq lists it as uncharacterized. The record is from RefSeq and is a predicted model, not a curated record. The transcript has 3 exons. NCBI's taxonomy places the organism in Eukaryota, Metazoa, Chordata, Amphibia, Anura, Pipidae.